RNAcentral lists this ribosomal RNA (444 nucleotides) under uncultured bacterium. RNAcentral's name for it is "bacterial SSU rRNA". It matches the Rfam family "Bacterial small subunit ribosomal RNA", at positions 331 to 792 of the family's 1533-position model. The record is from RNAcentral.
CCAGACUCCUACGGGAGGCAGCAGUGGGGGAUAUUGCACAAUGGGGGGAACCCUGAUGCAGCGACGCCGCGUGGGUGAAGGAGCGUUUCGGCGCGUAAAGCCCUAUCGGCAGGGAAGAAGAUGACGGUACCUGACCAAGAAGCCCCGGCUAACUACGUGCCAGCAGCCGCGGUAAUACGUAGGGGGCAAGCGUUAUCCGGAUUUACUGGGUGUAAAGGGGGCGCAGACGGCGAUGCAAGCCAGGAGUGAAAGCCCGGGGCUCAACCCCGGGACUGCAUUUGAAACUGUCAGGCUGGAGUGCAGGAGAGGUAAGUGGAAUUCCUAGUGUAGCGGUGAAAUGCGUAGAUAUAAGGAAGAACACCAGUGGCGAAGGCGGAUUACUGGACGAUAACUGACGGUGAGGCGCGAAAGCGUGGGGAGCAAACAGGAUUAGAUACCCUGGUA